Hippocampus zosterae (dwarf seahorse) is the source of this 254-nucleotide long non-coding RNA. RefSeq lists it as uncharacterized. NCBI's taxonomy places the organism in Eukaryota, Metazoa, Chordata, Actinopteri, Syngnathiformes, Syngnathidae. The transcript has 2 exons. The record is from RefSeq and is a predicted model, not a curated record.
ACUUCUCCAUUAUUUGUGAACAUGUUUCGUUCUGAUUAAUAUCGGUUUCACAGUUUCAUCCAUCAAUUCAUUUUCUAUAACGCUUUCUUAUCCUUGCGGAACUGUUCUGAAAUGGAAAACCAACCACAGCAACCUAAGGUCCACCAUCUCCAUAAACCUGUGACAUUGAGAUGCACCGUCCACCUUUCAGAUCGAUUCAGUCAGGGCCGGCCAGCUACUCCCCUCUUCCUCGUUACUCGAGGUGCACGAACAAA